CGGACGGGUGAGUAAUGUCUGGGGAUCUGCCUGAUGGCGGGGGAUAACUACUGGAAACGGUAGCUAAUACCGCAUAAUGUCUGCGGACCAAAGCGGGGGACCUCCGGGCCUCGCGCCAUCAGAUGAACCCAUAUGGGAUUAGCUUGUAGGUAAGGUAACGGCUUACCUAGGCGACGAUCCCUAGCUGGUCUGAGAGGAUGACCAGCCACACUGGAACUGAGACACGGUCCAG
This 232-nucleotide ribosomal RNA is filed under the name uncultured bacterium. Its description in RNAcentral is "partial 16S ribosomal RNA". It matches the Rfam family "Bacterial small subunit ribosomal RNA", at positions 99 to 334 of the family's 1533-position model. The record is from RNAcentral.